GACGAACGCUUGCGGCGUGCUUAACACAUGCAAGUCGAACGGAAAGGCCCUGCUUUUGUGGGGUGCUCGAGUGGCGAACGGGUGAGUAACACGUGAGUAACCUGCCCUUGACUUUGGGAUAACUUCAGGAAACUGGGGCUAAUACCGGAUAGGAGCUCCUGCUGCAUGGUGGGGGUUGGAAAGUUUCGGCGGUUGGGGAUGGACUCGCGGCUUAUCAGCUUGUUGGUGGGGUAGUGGCUUACCAAGGCUUUGACGGGUAGCCGGCCUGAGAGGGUGACCGGCCACAUUGGGACUGAGAUAUGGCCCAGACUCCUACGGGAGGCAGCAGUGGGGAAUAUUGCACAAUGGGCGGAAGCCUGAUGCAGCAACGCCGCGUGCGGGAUGACGGCCUUCGGGUUGUAAACCGCUUUCGCCUGUGACGAAGCGUGAGUGACGGUAAUGGGUAAAGAAGCACCGGCUAACUACGUGCCAGCAGCCGCGGUGAUACGUAGGGUGCGAGCGUUGUCCGGAUUUAUUGGGCGUAAAGGGCUCGUAGGUGGUUGAUCGCGUCGGAAGUGUAAUCUUGGGGCUUAACCCUGAGCGUGCUUUCGAUACGGGUUGACUUGAGGAAGGUAGGGGAGAAUGGAAUUCCUGGUGGAGCGGUGGAAUGCGCAAAUAUCAGGAGGAACACCAGUGGCGAAGGCGGUUCUCUGGGCCUUUCCUGACGCUGAGGAGCGAAAGCGUGGGGAGCGAACAGGCUUAGAUACCCUGGUAGUCCACGCUGUAAACGGUGGGUACUAGGUGUGGGGUCCAUUCCACGGGUUCCGUGCCGUAGCUAACGCUUUAAGUACCCCGCCUGGGGAGUACGGCCGCAAGGCUAAAACUCAAAGGAAUUGACGGGGCCCCGCACAAGCGGCGGAGCAUGCGGAUUAAUUCGAUGCAACGCGUAGAACCUUACCUGGGUUUGACAUGGAUCGGGAGUGCUCAGAGAUGGGUGUGCCUCUUUUGGGGUCGGUUCACAGGUGGUGCAUGGCUGUCCUCAGCUCGUGUCGUGAGAUGUUGGGUUAAGUCCCGCAACGAGCGCAACCCUUGUUCACUGUUGCCAGCACGUUAUGGUGGGGACUCAGUGGAGACCGCCGGGGUCAACUCGGAGGAAGGUGGGGAUGACGUCAAGUCAUCAUGCCCCUUAUGUCCAGGGCUUCACGCAUGCUACAAUGGCUGGUACAGAGAGUGGCGAGCCUGUGAGGGUGAGCGAAUCUCGGAAAGCCGGUCUCAGUUCGGAUUGGGGUCUGCAACUCGACCUCAUGAAGUCGGAGUCGCUAGUAAUCGCAGAUCAGCAACGCUGCGGUGAAUACGUUCCCGGGGCU
This 1346-nucleotide ribosomal RNA is filed under the name uncultured bacterium. RNAcentral's name for it is "partial 16S ribosomal RNA". It matches the Rfam family "Bacterial small subunit ribosomal RNA", at positions 28 to 1381 of the family's 1533-position model. The record is from RNAcentral.